Molecule: non-coding RNA, 72 nt
Organism: Phrynosoma platyrhinos (Desert horned lizard)
Lineage: Eukaryota; Metazoa; Chordata; Lepidosauria; Squamata; Phrynosomatidae
Source: the annotation of a GenBank genome assembly
GCCAGGGUGGUAUAGUGGUUUGAGCAUUGAACUACAACUCUGGAAACCAGGUUUCAAAUCCCUGCUUGGCCA